UACGUAGGGGGCAAGCGUUGUCCGGAUUUAUUGGGCGUAAAGAGCUCGUAGGCGGUUUGGUAAGUCAGGUGUGAAAUCUCCACGCUCAACGUGGAGGGGCCACCUGAUACUGCCAUGACUGGAGUCCGGUAGAGGAGUGUGGAAUUCCUGGUGUAGCGGUGAAAUGCGCAGAUAUCAGGAGGAACACCGGUGGCGAAGGCGGGACUCUGGGCCGAUACUGACGCUGAGGAGCGAAAGCGUGGGGAGCAAACAGG
RNAcentral lists this ribosomal RNA (254 nucleotides) under uncultured bacterium. RNAcentral's name for it is "partial 16S ribosomal RNA". It matches the Rfam family "Bacterial small subunit ribosomal RNA", at positions 524 to 776 of the family's 1533-position model. The record is from RNAcentral.